UGAAGCAGAAUCCAGUGAUCAAACUAAACAGCUCUUAAUGUUCAUCCAUCAAGAAAAGCAAAAUUUGAGGUUCCUCCUCCUCAAAGGUGGAAGCAGAUUUUCAUAAAGGAGAUUUGAUACCAGCAUCCUCUUGGACCACGGGAUUGACCCGAAUUCUAUCGAAAGACUUAUUAAUUACUCGAUAGAAAGUAAAUUUGGGUUCAAACAAUUCUAACUUAUUGUAAUAAAAAAAAUAUCAAAGAAAGUAUAUAUCACUUGUUUGAACUGUGAUGGUUCCCCAGUUUUACUCUUUCUUCCAAGGCCAUUUGAUAGCAUAAAAGGCGCAAAUCUAACAAGGGUAUAGUUACAAGGCCUGUAUUCCUUGCAAGCUUGUAAUGUUAUGAAAAUAGCUAUAAAUUAUUUCAAUAGAAAAAGCUCUUUUUUUUCUUUUCUGUUUUUUUAGGCAAGUUAUUAUUUCUGUAUCUUUUUUCUUCUGUUUUUGAAUAAUUUGUUGUUCUUUUCUUACUGUGAUAUGAUUUUCCAAAAUAAAUAUACAUGUCCUCGUAUACAAUACUCUCUAUAGCUCCUCCAUCAACUUAAUUUUACAUUUAGAGGCAGACAAGAGUGCCUAACCAUUGGUAGAGGUGUUUGUACCCAAUUUUGGUAAAUCGGCCCUUGAAAUAUUGACCGAUUGAUAAGGAAAAUUUGGUGCUUUAUUAACAACAUAUCAAUAGAAUUUUAUUAUGAAAUUCUAUUAUAUAUUAACCAUCGGACAAGAAAUUAAAAGGAAAGACAAUAACGGCGAUUUCUCAUAAUUGCCAAUGUGCCGAUAUAUAAAAGGGAAGAAAAUAACGGUGAUUUAUCAUAAUUGCUGAUAUAUAAUCGAGGAAGAAAAUGACGGCGAUUUAUCAUAAUUGCCGAUAUAUAAUCGAGGAAGGAAAUGCCGGCGAUUUAUCAUAAUUGCCGAUAUAUAAUCGAGGAAAGAAAUAACCGAGAUGUAAUUGCGUUUGAAGGCAUUGAUGACAAUAUUUCAUGAGCAAGAGACAAUCGAUUCUAACAAUGCCUCAUGAAGAAAGUAUAUAUGGUGCGAUUAAGAAAUGAGCAAUAUAGAUCAUAAUCUUAAUUCAAGUCAUUAAGACCGAAAUUCAAAUAUUUAGUUGUAUUCUAUUUUUUUAUGAGAAAUUUUAUUUACACAUGUCACAUAUCUAAAUGCACACCCAUAUUUUUGUAAAAAUUUAAUUCCUCUUUUAUCCCUCUUUAAAUUUUUUUUUGACAAAAGCAAAUGAGAAAAAAAAAACUACUCAAUGUUGUCGAAACCUCUGGAGGUAAUGAACUAAUAAUUCAUUCAAGCAAUGGCUAAGGUUCAAUUUAUUCAAUUGAUCGAGCAAGUGAAGAACUAAGGAUCAACUCAUAGUUACUGAAUCAAAUGGGAAAAAAAAAUGAAUAGUACUCUUUUAUUUUGUAUUGUCAAACACCUCCGCAGGUGAAGAACUAAAAGAUUAAUUCAUUCAAACAAGUAUUCAUAUAGGACUGUUUGGAUUUACAGUAAACAUAAUUGCAGCUCUGCAAUUUUUAUAGGAGAAUUUAUUGACUGGUAUAGAUGUUUCACGUCAUCAAAAUCUCUAAUUCUCUCAUUUUUAUUGUUUGUUUAAUUCAGUAAACUUAUAGAUAUUUUAGUUCACUAACUUAGAAUUAUUGUUUGAAAAACAGAUUGAUAAAGAGAAAGGGGGAUGUAAUUGCGGUUGUUGCAGUCUUGUAGUUGGCGAAGCGAGGGAAAGAAUUGAACUUUAAGAUAGUGAAAGAUGAGGAAGAAGAGAGGGAGGGUAAAUGAGCAAAUAAUGGGUAAAAAAUGACCAAAAUUUUUUAAGAGUUAUGUAUUAAGUAAACAGGGAUAUGUUAAUAAAGUUACUCUUUUUUUAUUGUGCAUUUGUAAUUGUAUAUAUUCAACCCUCAACCUCAUUGUAAAGGGUCAUCGACCAACACAACUCAAUUUAAUACAAAUACCAAGUUCUCUACAAAUUCUCUACAAUAUCGAUCAUUUUUUUUCUUGUUCUAUCGUAUUUUUCUUCUUCUUUUUAUCGCUUUUUAACUUUCUUCAAUUUAUUUUCAUACAAUUUAUCCUUCCGCAUCUUUAAAGUUCCAUGCAAUUUAGAUUUCGUUAUUUUACUACUUCAAUUUCCGUUCUUUAAGCUUCAUGCAAUUUAGAUUUGGUUCUUUUAAUUUCCGCAUUUUUAGGUUUUCGCAAAUCUAGAACUAUUAUCGGUGAAAACGUUAAAAGUCCUUGCAACAAAGGUAAGAGAACCUAAAGGCCGAAACGGUUCAUUUCUCGACCUACAAUCACUUGGAAGAAGUCAAUUUAGACGCAAAAUUAAUUAAAACCUCGCUUGGUCAUUUGGAUGCGAGUUGGCAUGCCCGCGCACAACCAAGAAUGAUGAUUGUUCUCAAGACCCUCAACCAUCAUCUCGGCCGAGACGAUUUUUUAGCAAACAAGAGGAGGAUGGCUCAUCUUGCCUAUCCAGGGCAUUGUACUAAUAUUGGAUGCCAACAAUUCAAUUACUUAAUGUAAUGCAAUCCUUUUUAAUUAAGUUCUAUAUAUUCCGAAUUUUCGAUCGAUCACUAGUUGAACCGACUCAGACUUGAUCGAUCGAGCAAUGUUUACUUUUGAUGUAUGAGAGCUUACCUGAUCUAGUCACUCCAAAUCAACAGUAUGACAAUACAAUAUUCAGAUCUGUAAAAAUCCAAAGCAACAAAAACACAACAGAUCCUAUAUCAAAUGUUUCAACAGAUGUAUCAAUAUAUCGUUUCUUCUGCGAUCAAUCCCACAUUGAAAUGACUGUGUCAUAGAAAACUUGAUGGAAGGAUAUGAGCUUGAGGGGGUCGUCCAACCAAACUCUCUCAUUGACGCGACACUGAUAAUUCAUAAUAGGGCUAGCAGGCAAAGACUCAUCCCUAACCGCAAUGACAAGCGUGUACAAGUCUCCUUCUACCAGCUGAGAAAGCCCACUGACCACUCUCUGGAACACCAACGAUUUCAGGGAUUCCUUAUUGAACUCCGACACGGCGAACUCCGCGAUCUCUUUCAGGUGUGCGUCGUUGAUGUUCACGCGCUGGGGACCCAUUCCGGCAAGUAACUCUUUGAGGGGAGCGAAAAGAAAGAGGGAGAGGAGGAGGAGGAGGCAGUUUGGACGCAUCUUGAUGAUGGUUUGGUUUGCGGUUGGUGGCUGGAGGCUAGGCUAGCGCUCUGCUUGCCUUCUUUAUAUAACAAACCGAGGUACGUAGAAUCCUUGUUGGGUUUGGAGUGCGGUAGUAGUGUCCUUGGCGAUCAACGCACAUUGGGUGCGACUUUUUGUGGCAUUGAAAUAAACCAUUAUUCUAGAAGAAAAUUAAAUCCUAAUUAAAACUGGAAAACAAGAGAAUCCUAUCUUAAUCCAAAAAAAAAAAAAAAAAAAAAAACGAUAAGAAACAUUUCAGCUCAAAAAUGAGUGCUUAGGACGGCCUUCAGUGAUACUACUGAGAGUAAAAGCAACAGUGAAUCUAAACUGCUUCCAGUGUUGAUAGGUUGAAAGCUAAACUGGUUGAAAGUAGUAUUGAUGAUGUAUAUAUACGUGAAAACCAAAGGGAAUUCGUCAUUCCUCUGCAUUGAUCAGUAACAUCUCAUGACACGACGAAAUAUGAUGACUCAAGGACACGCCCUCACGCAGUCACGCCUUUAGUUGUAGCCAGCAUACAGAAACUGGUUAUCAAGUUAUAAACCCUCCAUUUACUGUGCUGAGCUUAUGAUCAACUUUUACCAACACCAUCGUUACAGUAAUAUAUUCAUGUAAUCACAUCAUCAUUAUUAUAAACUGAUGAGAGCAUUUAUACCAGUAAAUCUUCUGUUACUUAGAUCUGAAUCUGUGGCAUAAUCUCCUGCAAAUUUCAUGUACUUUAUAAUUCAUGAAGAAACAUCAACCUCUAAAAGAGUCAGACCAUAUAUCAUACUGUUCCACGUCAACUUCUAAACUUAUGAAGCAGAAUCCAGUGAUCAAAGAACUAAACAGCUCUUAAUGUUCAACCAUCAAGAAAAACAAAAUUUGAGGUUCCUCCUCCUCAAAGGUGGAAGCAGAUUUUCAUAAAGGAGAUUUGAUACCAGCGCUGCCUGCAUUCAUGCAUUGAGACCAGCCCAAUUCUUGAAAGCAACAAGUGCUUCCAUUUUCCUAAAACUCCUCUUUCUCAAUUUUGACACUUUAAGCUU
This 4213-nucleotide long non-coding RNA is filed under the name Fragaria vesca (wild strawberry). RNAcentral describes it as "long non-coding RNA (FVES_LNC002025)". Lineage: Eukaryota; Viridiplantae; Streptophyta; Magnoliopsida; Rosales; Rosaceae. The record is from RNAcentral.